Molecule: long non-coding RNA, 797 nt
Organism: Ictalurus punctatus (channel catfish)
Lineage: Eukaryota; Metazoa; Chordata; Actinopteri; Siluriformes; Ictaluridae
Source: Ensembl
CCGAGUGUGCGUUAAGUAGUGUUUGCGUUCCUCUGUGCUCAUUGAUGAGGGUCAGAAGGUCACGGGGUUAAUUGCAGUUUUAUACACUAAGUGGACAAUUAGAGGGCAUUUUAGUCGGCUUAGCUUUGAGUUUCAGGUAUCAGUGAGAGGGGGGUUGGGUUUGGCGUUCAGGGGUCAAAGAAGAUUAGCACAAAUUGCCAUUUUCACACCCUGUUCGAGGUGCAUUGGGAAAAUCCAUUAUUGAAGGUGGCGGUAAUGUACAAUUUAGCACAGAAGAAGACGAGAAGGGGGGAAUGAAGGAAGAAGAGUGUUAAUGGUGUUUACUGCUCAUCUGGAGAGAUGCCGCCAUCUUGCUGCAGGAGGUUAGAAGAUGAUGACGACUUCCUGUGUGUGUGUGUGUUGUGUGUGUCAGUUUAAGUCGUUAUCAGUGUGCGUGAACAUCACCAGCAGAAUUUACUCUCAUGUGCGACUGUCUUUGGCAUCCAGUAAUGCCUCCACACCUGUACUCGGUCAGAGCUGUGCCAUAGCCACGCCCACAAACAGGUGUCUACGUACAUCACAACGCCUCUGUCUCCUGUAACGCACGCCGGUGCAGUGGAACGUCCUGCAUCUCUGCAUGCUCCUAAUCGGUCUCUCCUGCAAUCAAGGUCAUCCAGAGUUGAAGGAUCCAGAUGUCGUACAUCACAGCAGAGACAGCCAGUACAACAUCUGGAUCCGCACCCACGGUACAAUCCAGCGUUUUGGAGCAGAUCGACAGAACUUCACAGAGAGACUUCUGUUCACUGAGGAAAGCCAAC